AAUAAGGAGUCUGGUGGCACCUUAAAGACUAACAGAUUUAUUUGGGCAUAAGCUUUUGUGGGUAAAAACCCACUUCUUCAGAUGCAUGGAGUGAAAAUUACAGAUGCAGGCAUUAUAUAAUAACACAUGAAGCGAAGGGAAGGGAGUACUUGUGGCACCUUAGAGACUAACAAAUUUAUU
Long non-coding RNA from Dermochelys coriacea (leatherback sea turtle), 180 nucleotides. RefSeq lists it as uncharacterized. The record is from RefSeq and is a predicted model, not a curated record. The transcript has 3 exons. Lineage: Eukaryota; Metazoa; Chordata; Testudines; Dermochelyidae.